GGAAGGAUCAUUAGUGGAUGGAUAUAAAUCUUGAAGCACCUGUGAACUGUGGGGGCGUGCCCUCGUUUUACAAACGAUGAAUGUAACCAACAAGUCUUGUAAUAAUAAAAUAAAACUUUCAACAACGGAUCUCUUGGCUCUCGCAUCGAUGAAGAACGCAGCGAAAUGCGACAAGUAAUGUGAAUUGCAGAAUUCAGUGAAUCAUCGAAUCUUUGAACGCACCUUGCGCUCUUUGGUACUCCGAAGAGCAUGCCUGUUUGAGUGUCACGAAAUGUCAACCCGAGUCUUGGGCUGGAUGUGGGUGCUUGCCGCUGCGAGUCGUCGGCUCACCUGAAAUAUAUUAGCUGGCGCGGUCUUUCGGGGACUGGGACUGGAUUGGCGUGAUAAGUUAUUUCGCCAAGGGUCUUGGUUUCCUUUUGACAAGCGUGGGCUUUCUAAUGCGAGUUGUAUUGAAGACCUGGCCUCAAAUCAGGUAGGACUACCCGCCGAACUUAAGCAUAUCAAUAAGCGGAGGAAAAGAAACUAACAAGGAUUCCCCUAGUAACGGCGAGUGAAGCGGGAAGAGCUCAAAAUUGAAAUCUGGUGGCCCGAGGCUAUCCGAGUUGUAAUCUAGAGAAACGUUUUCGGCGUUGGGCGCGUGUACAAGUCCCUUGGAAUAGGGCGUCAUAGAGGGUGAGAAUCCCGUGCUUGACAUGUCGGCGGCAAUGCUGUGUGAUACGUUUUCGACGAGUCGAGUUGUUUGGGAAUGCAGCUCAAAAGGGGUGGUAAAUUCCAUCUAAAGCUAAAUAUUGGCGAGAGACCGAUAGCGAACAAGUACCGUGAGGGAAAGAUGAAAAGCACUUUGGAAAGAGAGUUAAACAGUAUGUGAAAUUGUUGAAAGGGAAACGAUUAAAGUCAGUCGUGUCUAUUGGAAUCAGCCGGUUCUGCCGGUGCACUUGCAUUAGACGGGGUCAACAUGGGUUUCGGUUGCUGGAAAAGGGCAGGAGGAAUGUAGUACUUAUGGGUAAACUUAUAGCCUCUGGUCGGAUGCAGUGGCUGGGACCGAGGAACGCAGCAUGCCAUUUUGGCCGGGGUUCGCGCCCACGCACAUGCUUAGGAUGUUGACAUAAUGGCUUUAAACGACCCGUCUUGAAACACGGACCAAGGAGUCUAACAUGUGUGCGAGUAUUUGGGUGUGAAACCCGAGUGCGGAAUGAAAGUGAACGGGGGCGAGGGAUCCGCAAGGAGCACCUUGGACCGAUCUGGAGCGUUCGCGCGAUGGAUUUGAGUAAGAGCAUAUAUGUUGGGACCCGAAAGAUAGUGAACUAUGCCUGAAUAGGGUGAAGCCAGAGGAAACUCUGGUGGAGGCUCGUCGCGAUUCUGACGUGCAAAUCGAUCGUCAAAUUUGGGUAUAGGGGCGAAAGACUAAUCGAACUACCUAGUAGCUGGUUCCUGC
RNAcentral lists this unclassified non-coding RNA (1435 nucleotides) under uncultured fungus. RNAcentral's name for it is "sequence contains 18S rRNA gene, ITS1, 5.8S rRNA gene, ITS2, 28S rRNA gene". The stretch from base 459 to 1435 matches the Rfam family "Eukaryotic large subunit ribosomal RNA", at positions 1 to 961 of the family's 3401-position model. The record is from RNAcentral. Lineage: Eukaryota; Fungi.